This 198-nucleotide ribosomal RNA is filed under the name Flavobacteriales bacterium. Its description in RNAcentral is "partial 23S ribosomal RNA". It matches the Rfam family "Bacterial large subunit ribosomal RNA", at positions 2724 to 2925 of the family's 2925-position model. The record is from RNAcentral. Lineage: Bacteria; Pseudomonadati; Bacteroidota; Flavobacteriia; Flavobacteriales.
UCCUGCCAAGGGCACAGCUGGAUAGCUAAAUACGGAAGGGAUAAUUACUGAAUGCAUCUAAGUGAGAAACCCGCCUCAAAAAUAGGUAUCCCAAUAGGAAAGUUGAAGACUACAACGUUGAUAGGUCAGGUGUGGAAGUGUAGUAAUACAUUAAGCUAACUGAUACUAAUUGCCCGUACGGCUUGAUCCUAUAACCUU